Molecule: non-coding RNA, 28 nt
Filed under: Rattus norvegicus (Norway rat)
Lineage: Eukaryota; Metazoa; Chordata; Mammalia; Rodentia; Muridae
Source: RNAcentral
UGGUUUGUUAGAGCUGUGAAAGAGCAUU